AGUCUCAUAGUUCAACGGAUAGAACGGAGGUUUCCUAAACCUUAAAUCCGAGUUCGAUUCUCGGUGGGACUA
Molecule: transfer RNA, 72 nt
Filed under: Caudoviricetes sp.
Lineage: Duplodnaviria; Heunggongvirae; Uroviricota; Caudoviricetes
Description: tRNA-Arg
Rfam family: tRNA
About the family: Transfer RNA (tRNA) molecules are approximately 80 nucleotides in length.
Source: RNAcentral